Molecule: ribosomal RNA, 497 nt
Filed under: uncultured bacterium
Lineage: Bacteria
Description: partial 16S ribosomal RNA
Rfam family: Bacterial small subunit ribosomal RNA
Source: RNAcentral
GAUGAACGCUGGCGGCGUGCCUAAUACAUGCAAGUCGAGCGAACAGAUAAGGAGCUUGCUCCUUUGACGUUAGCGGCGGACGGGUGAGUAACACGUGGGUAACCUACCUAUAAGACUGGGAUAACUUCGGGAAACCGGAGCUAAUACCGGAUAACAUUUGGAACCGCAUGGUUCUAAAGUGAAAGAUGGUUUUGCUAUCACUUAUAGAUGGACCCGCGCCGUAUUAGCUAGUUGGUAAGGUAACGGCUUACCAAGGCAACGAUACGUAGCCGACCUGAGAGGGUGAUCGGCCACACUGGAACUGAAACACGGUCCAGACUCCUACGGGAGGCAGCAGUAGGGAAUCGUCCGCAAUGGGCGGAAGCCUUACGGAGCAACGGCGCGUGAGUUAUGAAGGGUUUCCGCUCGUAAAACUCUGUUAUUAGGGAAGAACAAACGUGUAAGUAACUGUGCACGUCUUGACGGUACCUAAUCAGAAAGCCACGGCUAACUACGUG